AGGAGACUCAUAUUUAAGUGAAGGAGAAACAGGAAGGGCCCUCUUUUCCUCUCUGCUCCUGCUCCAGCGGCACGAUGUGAUCCACUGGCGAGGAGGGAAGCCAAUAAGGUGCCCGCUUGAGCCUGGAGAAGUAGUAUGAGCACUGAUGUCCCAGGAGUUUGGAGGUAUGGCGUGCCAAAUUGAGGGAUGAUGUGUUCCAGGAGUACCUGAGUCAUCUUAUGUGCUCUUUCCCUGGGGGUGGUGAGUACCUCUAUCCUGUAGAAGUCAAUAAGAGUUUAGAUAAUGGAAGGUUUUUUUUUUUUUUUUUUAUGACUGGGCAUGUGAGUGUAGUCAACCUGCCAGUUCUUGUAUGGUUGGUAUCUUUGGAGCUGGUGCAGGGGCUGAUGUAUCUGGAGAGCUCCCAGUGGGUUGGCCUUGGCACGUGUCUGGCAGGAGGAGUAGACCUCUAAAAUAUAGGCUCAAAGAUGGGUGGGGUCAAAGAUGGCCUCUAGAUACUGAUAUUUCCAUUAGGCUAGAUUUCUUGAUACAGUAGAAGAACUCUUUCCCUAGGAACAUGCAGGUGACUGUAAAACAGCUGAAACAGAUUUACAUCUUGGUGUCAUAGCAAAAGGCUAUGGCUUUGGGUUAAAAGGUAUGAACAUUUUUAGAAGACUACCACAGGAAAUUUACUGAAUGAAAGAGGUUGAGUGAGCUGAGGAGGAACAGAGCUGAGCUCACCUGCAGGCUUCCAGGCUCUCUCUAAUGCUAACCUGUUCGGGGAGGAGGAGUUGGCAUUUCAGCAGUUUUGCCAUUGUGGCUGGAGAUAAUAUAGCAAUGCUGAAAGGCCUCCGUGCAGUCCUGUUAGUGUUAUAAAGAACCUAAAAGCUUGGACCUGUAAAAUCCACACAAAUUUACGAACUUAGUCAGUGCUAUAACAGUUUAUCAAAACUGCAUUUAUCAAUGCUAAAACUCUGAAGCCUGUUUAUCCUUUACUAUGAAGUCUGUGAACAAGGCAAACCUGUAUGUAUUUUAACUAAUGUUAAAUGUUAUUUUAACUUAUUGUUAAACUUAUUAUGUAUUUUAACUAAAUGUUAAAGUAGUUGUAGCCAUGGGGGGCUUGGGAAGAGCUGUUAAACUGGUAAAUCUGUCAGUAUCCUAGUCAUUAAACACCAUCAGAUCUGUGUAGGGAGAUCUUACUGCUACCUGUAGUGCUGACCCCAAGCUCAUUUGGGCAUGGUCACGGGUGCAUGUGUGAGCAUGUGGGAUUUUCGUUUGGGGUCAGGGACAGACUUGUUCUUUCUGGGUUCCGGUCGGGUCACAGAGGGCAGUUGAUCUUGGAUGCUUAGAGUAUUGAUUCUGGGUAAUUGGUUUCUCAUGUAAGUGAUUCCUUCCCAAUAAAAUUAACCUACAUCAUCCCAAUCCCAUGUAUCUUGAUUUGUACUACCACAGAUCUGAGAAGGAUAAAUUUCACCUGAGUAAGCAGAAGGGAGACAGCUACCCAAGGUUUCUCUGGUGGUGGGUGGGGACAGAGGUUCCAGGGCAAUAUGAAUCUUCAGCUGCUAGUCCCAGAAGAUCUGACAGACUUUUUUGUGGUGUAGGAAUUUGGGGAGACUGGCCUACCUUUUCUUGGCAAAGUAGGGCAAUCAAUUUCUCAGGUCCCUGCUUGUUCACAGUCUGGACAGGGGCUUGGUAAGAGUUAAGGUGCAAAGCAGUUUUUUUGCUCUGUUUCCGGCUUUGCUACAUUUAAAGCAAGCUCCAGGUGGAGGUUCAUUUUUGUCUGUCCAUCUUCCUUGGAGGAGAUAUGGAUGCUGCCAGGAGCUGGUGUGUCUCUAUCAUGAGAAGCCUUUUUGUUUGUUGUUUGGGGGCAGGGAGGAAGUAGGGCUGAGGUGGAGUUUCCAGCAAACAAUGUCAUGAAAGAACUCCUUUGCAUUGUGUCUGGGUUGGAAGGUAGGUUGGCUGAGUCUUGUGUCAGACUCUCACAUAAGACUGCAACAAAAAUAUAGGCUGGGUGUUAUGCAGUGUGUCCACGAUAGCUGCUAUUGUAGCCAUCACUAGAGCAAAAGCUCUGUUCUAAGGUCUCCUGGAUUAAGAUGGGAGUCUGGGUUGCCAAUAGGGUGAGGUCUCUGAAGCUUGCAAAGACCUCAGUCCCUUGUCAGAUUUUAGCAAGACUGCUCACAGUGAGUAAGGUACCCAAGUGAAAUACAAGCAAGAAAGGUCACAGUUCUUUGCUUUGCCACAGUGGAAGUGACAUCAUUUCAUUUUUGUUUUUGUUUGUAUUUUCUGGAAGAAUUCAUUAAGACUAGCCCAGUCAAGAGGAAGGAGUCAUAGGAAGGCAUGAACACCAGGAGGCAGGCAUCUCUGGGACCUCUCAGCAGUUGGAUGCCACACAUUCUCUUCCUGCAGAUUAUUAUGUCAGAGACAGGAGCCCAUUAUAAUGAUUUUAAAAUGAAUACGGCUAAUAACCUAGGAAAUGCAGACACUCCUGCAGUGUUGCAAACCCUCUGUAAAUGAAAAAUGGAGUUCUUUGCUUUCAAUACAAGAGUUAUUUCAAGUGAAUCACUCAUGAUUUCAUUUAUAACAAUAAAAAGGCAGCCACAUAAUAGCCCCUGUGUGUCUACUGUGGUCUCUAACAUAGCCCUCUCCUUGAGUAACCUACUUUUGAACAAGCCCCCGUGAAUAAGGGAAGUGAGGUCCCCUGAUACAUGGUUUUCAAAGUAUAUUUACACUCCAUUUGGGUCAACAAUCUUGAUAUUUGGCAGAGGUCUCUGAGCAUAUGAUGGAAAUAUUUUAUCUCACAUUUGUGCUGACUCUCUAGUGUUGAUAUUUCAACUUACAGGAUAGGGAUUUAAUGAGGUCAGGGUUGGGGAGAGCAACAGGAAGGAAUGGGGAGAGUAAAGAAAGUCCAUUAAGCCUCAAGACUUACAAUAAUUUAAUUCUUUUUGAAAAGAGAUUCUAGCAACAUACCUGAGAAUUUGGGAUUCGCUGAUAUAUAUAUUCUGAUAUAUAUAUAUAUAUAUAUCAGAAUAGUUAAAGCAGGACAGGAAGACUCACAUUUAACUUAUGCUUUAAUGACAGAAUGAGGAAAAAGUUGUUUGCCUGUCUUUUGGGCUUGAGUGUGAAGGGCAUACCAUUUUAUUUUGGGAACAGUAAAGUGUACAAAUUUCUGUCUUGUCCCAUAGCAUGAGCUAAGCUAUUAACUUCAAACUAUUGGAGACCCUUUAGAUAGGAAGAAAAGGAGCCAACACCUUUGGCUUGUAAUUUUUUAGAAAUAA
This 3251-nucleotide long non-coding RNA is filed under the name Cricetulus griseus (Chinese hamster). Its description in RNAcentral is "lncRNA (ENSCGRG00015042243.1)". Lineage: Eukaryota; Metazoa; Chordata; Mammalia; Rodentia; Cricetidae. The record is from RNAcentral.